GGGUCAGUAGGUUGGUCGUGCCACCGGUACGUACUGGUCUCACUGAUUCCUCCUUCCUGAAGAACCGUAAUGCCAUUAAUUUGGUGUUGCGGGGAAACAGGACUGUUACUUUGAAUAAAUUAGAGUGCUUAAAGCAAGCUAACGCUUGAAUACAUUAGCAUGGAAUAAUGAAAUAGGACGAUCGAUCCUAUUUUGUUGGUUUCUAGGAUUGACGUA
This 216-nucleotide ribosomal RNA is filed under the name Glomeromycotina sp. RNAcentral's name for it is "partial small subunit ribosomal RNA". The stretch from base 40 to 216 matches the Rfam family "Eukaryotic small subunit ribosomal RNA", at positions 686 to 864 of the family's 1831-position model. Lineage: Eukaryota; Fungi; Glomeromycota. The record is from RNAcentral.